UACAGAGGGUGCGAGCGUUAAUCGGAAUUACUGGGCGUAAAGCGCGCGUAGGCGGCUUUUCAAGUCGAUUGUGAAAUCCCCGGGCUUAACCUGGGAACUGCAGUCGGGACUGUCUGGCUAGAGUAUGGGAGAGGGAAGUGGAAUUUCAGGUGUAGCGGUGAAAUGCGUAGAUAUCUGAAGGAACAUCAGUGGCGAAAGCGACUUCCUGGACCAAUACUGACGCUCAUGUGCGAAAGCGUGGGGAGCAAACAGG
Molecule: ribosomal RNA, 253 nt
Filed under: uncultured bacterium
Lineage: Bacteria
Description: partial 16S ribosomal RNA
Rfam family: Bacterial small subunit ribosomal RNA
Source: RNAcentral